GAUGAACGCUGGCGGCGUGCCUAAUACAUGCAAGUCGAGCGAACAGACGAGGAGCUUGCUCCUCUGACGUUAGCGGCGGACGGGUGAGUAACACGUGGAUAACCUACCUAUAAGACUGGGAUAACUUCGGGAAACCGGAGCUAAUACCGGAUAAUAUAUUGAACCGCAUGGUUCAAUAGUGAAAGACGGUUUUGCUGUCACUUAUAGAUGGAUCCGCGCCGCAUUAGCUAGUUGGUAAGGAAACGGCUUACCAAGGCGACGAUGCGUAGCCGACCUGAGAGGGUGAUCGGCCACACGGGAACUGAGACACGGUCCAGACACCGACAGGAGGCAGCAGUAGGGAAUCUUCCGCAAGGGGCGAGAGCCUGACGGAGCAACGCCGCGUGAGUGAUGAAGGUCUUCGGAUCGUAAAACUCUGUUAUUAGGGAAGAACAAAUGUGUAAGUAACUAUGCACGUCUUGACGGUACCUAAUCAGAAAGCCACGGCUAACUACGUG
RNAcentral lists this ribosomal RNA (497 nucleotides) under uncultured bacterium. RNAcentral describes it as "partial 16S ribosomal RNA". It matches the Rfam family "Bacterial small subunit ribosomal RNA", at positions 28 to 507 of the family's 1533-position model. The record is from RNAcentral.